AUUGAACGCUGGCGGCAGGCCUAACACAUGCAAGUCGAGCGGAAGAAGGGAGCUUGCUUCUGGGUUCAGCGGCGGACGGGUGAGUAAUGCCUAGGAAUCUGCCUGGUAGUGGGGGAUAACGUCCGGAAACGGGCGCUAAUACCGCAUACGUCCUGCGGGAGAAAGUGGGGGAUCUUCGGACCUCACGCUAUCAGAUGAGCCUAGGUCGGAUUAGCUAGUUGGUGGGGUAAAGGCCUACCAAGGCGACGAUCCGUAACUGGUCUGAGAGGAUGAUCAGUCACACUGGAACUGAGACACGGUCCAGACUCCUACGGGAGGCAGCAGUGGGGAAUAUUGGACAAUGGGCGAAAGCCUGAUCCAGCCAUGCCGCGUGUGUGAAGAAGGUCUUCGGAUUGUAAAGCACUUUAAGUUGGGAGGAAGGGCAGUAAGUUAAUACCUUGCUGUUUUGACGUUACCAACAGAAUAAGCACCGGCUAACUUCGUG
This 484-nucleotide ribosomal RNA is filed under the name uncultured bacterium. RNAcentral's name for it is "partial 16S ribosomal RNA". It matches the Rfam family "Bacterial small subunit ribosomal RNA", at positions 30 to 507 of the family's 1533-position model. The record is from RNAcentral.